Bubalus bubalis (water buffalo) is the source of this 1054-nucleotide long non-coding RNA. RefSeq lists it as uncharacterized. The transcript has 4 exons. The record is from RefSeq and is a predicted model, not a curated record. NCBI's taxonomy places the organism in Eukaryota, Metazoa, Chordata, Mammalia, Artiodactyla, Bovidae.
AGCAUGCUGUCGCUGGGGUGGCUCCAAGCCCUCUCCUCCCACCUGUGAGGUCUUUGCUGGUAUUUGGGUGUUUUACCUGGGAAGGGUGGAGGAGGUUCAGGAGCAGCUAGCCUGGGGCUCAGCCAAGGUUUACUUAGAGAUCGUGUGGUCCCCCAGUUUCCCACUGAGGAUACUCCUGGGGGGUGGGGGGUGGAGGAGGUGGAAGGGCUGCUGGCUGCAUAUAAGUCCCCACUCCUGACCAUCUUCAGAACUGCUCAUCAGUGCAGCAAGUAUCCUAACUGGGUUUCCAUCUGUGUAACUGGUGGGUUCUUAAUGAGUGUGAACAGUGACAUUAAAUGUCCUCAGUCAGGACUGAGACACUUACCACACCACAUGCACAGGUUUAAGAACCUGGGAAGUGCAGCUGGUACCCUAGUGAUGGGCUUCAGGCUUGACCCCUCCACAUUCUGGGGUCUAGCCACUCUUUAGCAUUUCUCGGGGCCCAGUGCUGACUCUAAGGGUUCCAUAAUCCAGCCUCCAUCUGCCUUUAGUGAGACCCACACUUCCAGGAUCCUACAGAGCAAGGUGUUGUGGGUGUUCCCAAAAAGAAAGAAACUCCACUCACUGUCCCCCUGACUCCUGCCUUUGUUUGGAAGAAGAGAACCUAAAACCCUCCAAGAGGAUGAGGAGCAGCCAGGAGUGGAGAAGAACAUGAAGAACACAACUCAGGCUGAGCCUUCGGCUUGGAGCCUGGAAGAUGUGUCUCAAGGCGCAGACUUGGGUUCUCUCUGUGUCCUGGUGACAAAGAAGGCUCCUCCUGGUGCGAUCAAAAGAGCAGCUCUGGGUCCCAGAUGGUAUCUGCUGCUGAGUCUAGCGGAGGAAUCGGCUGGAGCUCUUGGGUGGUACCCACACAGUCAAGGGCUGCUCACUUACAAAUUCAAGAGCCCUUUGCCGCAAGGGAGGAGCCUUGUUAACCACCUGACAAGGAAGAGACUUGACUGACGGGUCCCUCACCAGAGGCUGUCUGCUGGCUUUGGGAGGAGCUGCUGUUCAGGCACCUUCUUCCCUUGUUGGU